Long non-coding RNA from Strigops habroptila (Kakapo), 806 nucleotides. RefSeq lists it as uncharacterized. NCBI's taxonomy places the organism in Eukaryota, Metazoa, Chordata, Aves, Psittaciformes, Psittacidae. The transcript is spliced from 2 exons. The record is from RefSeq and is a predicted model, not a curated record.
CAUCCACUGGGGCAACUGAGGCCAGCAGAAGGGAUGUCGUACCAGGAUGUGAAGCCUCCCACAGCCCUUGCCCCAGGCAGCACCUCUACUGACACUGGCACAUGGGGUGUUCUCCAUUUCCAUGUGCGAUGCUUCUUGUCCAGGCAGAUGUCCAGGUACCCAUGCAGCAGGAACACUUUGGAGUGAGCCGCUCGCUGCGAUCAUGACUGUUGUGAAACAGUUUAACUUCCUACGGGAGCAGCAGCCCUCGCCUGUCAGCCUGUGCCUGGCGCUCACAACGCCUCCAGCAUUCACAGCCCUGCUUCCUUAUCCCUGACGUGCACACAUGCACGCUCCUGCACGCACACCCCGUCCCUCCUCCGGCAUGCCAUUUCCCAAGGGCCUGCCCGGGGCAUGUGCUGGAAAAGGGGAUGUGGUGACGUGCUGGGGGAUACAGGGCUCCCAGCUCCAGUGGGGGAUGCAUGAAAAAGAUGGAUACAGGUCCUGCUGGGACAACGCCAAGGAGGCAGCUCUAUCACCGCAGCCAGCAGCUCCUUGGGUGGGUGGAUGGUGGUUGUACAUGGACCACAGCCCCCUUGCUGUGUGGGUUAUCCCACACGCCAGGAGCAGCCGGGCAGCAGGCACAGCUUUCAGGCAGACGCAUGCCCAUGGGGGGAUGUCGGAUGCCGUGGCCGCUGCGGAAGCUCAGCGGUGCUCCCAGGAGGUGACUCUUUAGGAAGUGGGUGCGUCCUGCCGGUGCGGCCACGGGAGGCCCAGCGGGAACUGCGUGGGAGCCAGGAGAGCCGUGGAGCGGGCUGGGCCCUGGC